AAAACUGCUGUAGACAUAGUAGCUAAGAAAGACAACACAAUUAAAGAUGUAACUCAGGUUCUUGCUGAGUCAGCGCCGAUUAUCGAACGUCCUGUGCAGGACGCAGUUUUGAUAACAGUAAAAACCUUAACUGGAAUGAGUUAUGCAGUUGAUGUUAGGUUAACUAAUACAAUAAGUGAUGUAAAGGAAAAGGUUCACAAGAAAACAGGAAUACCUCCUGACCAACAGAGUCUAUCCUUUAGAAAUAAAAUUCUCCGGAAUCACCUCACAGUUUUUGAUUACAAUAUUGAGAUGGGAUCAACUAUAAAUGUCCGCAUACAUAUGCGUGAAAAAUAGGAUACCACCGAGACAAGCAAAAACUAGGAUAGCGAGAAAACAUAUUUUCCAUAAAAAAGACAAAUUCAGCUAAAAAUAACUUUAUUCCAAAAAUUUGUGUGAAUACAUACGAUCUAAGUCUUUUUCACCUUGCAAUAAUAUAACAUUUGACUUGUCUACAAUGUAAACAAGUAUUCUCCAUACCAAACCUAGAAACAGGUUUUGAUCAAACUUGAUUUCAUGAAAAAAGAAUGUUCAACGUAGUAUCAAAUAUCUUGAUUUAGUGAAGAAAAUAUCAGACUUUGUACAAAAUUACACUGAUCAAACCAAAAACUUCUGAAACUGACUUGUUCAAAACGCUUGAUUUCUUGAAUUGGAUCAUAUUGGCCUCAUUUGGAGAACUCGUUUCAAAGCAUGCAAUCAUCAUUCCUAGGGAAACUAUGGAUCAGCUGUCGUAUGUGGAACUCUUACAUUGCGUUACGUGGUUUUAUUAUUACUAAAUGAUAUUUUGCCUUUAAAUAACAUGGUUUUGACAUUACCGAGACAACAUAAUGAUGUUUUGAGAUAGUUUAACCAUUAUUUAAUGUGGUUGGUGUCAUUAGGCAAUGUGGUUUUAACAUUACUUGAUGUGUACAUGGAUUAACGUAAUGAUGUUGUUUCAUUAUAUGAUGUGGUUUUGUUAUUUGGUAAUGGUGACUUGUUAAUUCUUAUUAGCGAUUUCCAAUAAAAUGACAUUA
Long non-coding RNA from Mytilus californianus (California mussel), 1052 nucleotides. RefSeq lists it as uncharacterized. The transcript is spliced from 3 exons. The record is from RefSeq and is a predicted model, not a curated record. Lineage: Eukaryota; Metazoa; Mollusca; Bivalvia; Mytilida; Mytilidae.